RNAcentral lists this transfer RNA (67 nucleotides) under Marmota monax (woodchuck). Its description in RNAcentral is "tRNA.Ala". The record is from RNAcentral. Lineage: Eukaryota; Metazoa; Chordata; Mammalia; Rodentia; Sciuridae.
GGUUGUGGCUCAGUGGUAGAGCUCUCGCUUGGCAGGUGUGAAGCACUGGGUUCAAUCCUCACCACCA